RNAcentral lists this ribosomal RNA (497 nucleotides) under uncultured bacterium. Its description in RNAcentral is "partial 16S ribosomal RNA". It matches the Rfam family "Bacterial small subunit ribosomal RNA", at positions 28 to 507 of the family's 1533-position model. The record is from RNAcentral.
GAUGAACGCUGGCGGCGUGCCUAAUACAUGCAAGUCGAGCGAACAGACGAGGAGCUUGCUCCUCUGACGUUAGCGGCGGACGGGUGAGUAACACGUGGAUAACCUACCUAUAAGACUGGGAUAACUUCGGGAAACCGGAGCUAAUACCGGAUAACAUGUCGAACCGCAUGGUUUAACAGUGAAAGACGGUCUUGCUGUCACUUAUAGAUGGAUCCGCGCCGCAUUAGCUAGUUGGUAAGGUAACGGCUUACCAAGGCAACGAUGCGUAGCCGACCUGAGAGGGUGAUCGGCCACACUGGAACUGAGACACGGUCCAGACUCCUACGGGAGGCAGCAGUAGGGAAUCUUCCGCAAUGGGCGAAAGCCUGACGGAGCAACGCCGCGUGAGUGAAGAAGGUCUUCGGAUCGUAAAACUCUGUUAUUAGGGAAGAACAAAUGUGUAAGUAACUAUGCACGUCUUGACGGUACCUAAUCAGAAAGCCACGGCUAACUACGUG